RNAcentral lists this long non-coding RNA (732 nucleotides) under Nicotiana tabacum (common tobacco). RNAcentral's name for it is "long non-coding RNA (NTAB_LNC011785)". Lineage: Eukaryota; Viridiplantae; Streptophyta; Magnoliopsida; Solanales; Solanaceae. The record is from RNAcentral.
UUUCACAUGCAGUGCAAGGUCAGUUCAUUUAGGCACAUUAUCAAAUACCUUUGUUACAUCAGCGUAUAAAUCCGAUAAAGUUACCCAAUGCAUGUGAAAAUCUAAUAAGACCUCUAUCCGAAAGAACAUAGAAACUACCAAAUUAACACCCAAUUUCAGUCCAUAAAAAAGUCGAAUGAAGCAUGUUUAUGAGGUUGUCAUUUUGGAACCAAUUCCGUAUAAAUGAAAUAUCAAUGUGUCUGAAGCUCGCACAUACAAUCCACUUUUUAUAUAUAAGCAUUGGAAUACCACUUAACGAAAAUCAUGACAAUCGAUAUGAAAAAUUAAAAUAACCCCCCAAAAAGGUCUUAAUAGUUUGUUCAUGAAGAAAAAGGUUCAUUCAUUACCUCUCAAUAUGAGCCGCCCAGAGAUUACUUAAAAGUAGCUUCUUUGCAAUCCCUAUCUGCGUUUCAGUUGCUUGGUCACAUUGAAUUUUUUUACAUCCCCAAUUUCAAAUCUUAUGUUAAAAUUUCAUUAAAGUAAAAGAAAUUACUCACAUGCAACACUUCAAAAAUAUGUGAUAUCAGACGAACCAAGAAUACAUAUAGAAAAGAAUAGUGAAACAUAGCUCACAGUUUACCAAGAAUCAAACAGCAAAAUGAAGAAAGAGGGAAAAGGCAGAGAAGAAAAAGAGAGCAUUUUCGAAGGAGGAGGAAAGCAGCGAAAUGGCUGAUAUUGAAGUGGAAAAAUGGG